AGAGUUUGAUCAUGGCUCAGGACGAACGCUGGCGGCGUGCUUUAGACAUGCAAGUCGAACGAGAUCUUCGGAUCUAGUGGCGAACGGCGGAGUAAUACAUAAACAACGUGCCCUGAAGACUGGGAUAUACGGUCGAAAGGCCGAGCAAUACCGGAUGUGGCCGAGACUAGGCAUCUAGACUCGAUUAAAUGGUUUUUCGCUUCAGGAGCGGUUUAUGACUCAUCAGCUAGUUGGUAGGGUAAUGGCCUACCAAGGCUACGACGGGUAGGGGGUCUGAGAGGAUGACCCCCCCGAGUGGGACUGAGACACGGCCCACACACCUACGGGUGGCAGCAGUUUGGAAUCUUGCCCAAUGGGGGAAACCCUGAGGCAGCGACGCCGCGUGGAGGAUGAAGGAUUUAGGUCUGUAAACUCCUUUUGCCAGGAAAGACUUAGGACGGUACCUGGCGAAUAAGCUCCGGCUAACUACGUG
This 472-nucleotide ribosomal RNA is filed under the name uncultured bacterium. Its description in RNAcentral is "bacterial SSU rRNA". It matches the Rfam family "Bacterial small subunit ribosomal RNA", at positions 8 to 507 of the family's 1533-position model. The record is from RNAcentral.